This 387-nucleotide ribosomal RNA is filed under the name Lanthus parvulus (northern pygmy clubtail). RNAcentral's name for it is "partial 16S ribosomal RNA". Lineage: Eukaryota; Metazoa; Arthropoda; Insecta; Odonata; Gomphidae. RNAcentral also lists the same sequence under 1 other name. The record is from RNAcentral.
CUCCUCUUGUUUAUAUAUGAGGUCUGACCUGCCCGGUGAAAUGUUUCAUUUUUAACGGCCGCGGUAUUUUGACCGUGCAAAGGUAGCAUAAUCAUUAGUCUUUUAAUAGGAGGCUGGCAUGAAGGGUUUGACGAGGAGUUAACUGUCUCAUUUAAUUCGAAACUAAAAUUUAACUUUUCAGUUAAAAGGCUGAAAUUAUAUUGGAAGACGAGAAGACCCUAUAGAGCUUUAUAAUUAAAAUUUUAAUUGAUUUUUGUUCCAUUAUUGUCUUUGAUGAUUUUAAUUAUUUUGUUGGGGUGACAAAAAAAUAUAAUUAACUUUUUUAUUUAAUUAACAUUGAUUUAUGAAUUUUAGAUCCAAUUUUAUUGAUUGUUAGAUUAAGUUACC